UACGUAGGUGGCAAGCGUUGUCCGGAAUUAUUGGGCGUAAAGCGCGCGCAGGCGGUUCUUUAAGUCUGAUGUGAAAGCCCACGGCUCAACCGUGGAGGGUCAUUGGAAACUGGGGGACUUGAGUGCAGAAGAGGAGAGUGGAAUUCCACGUGUGGCGGUGAAAUGCGUAGAGAUGUGGAGGAACACCAGUGGCGAAGGCGACUCUCUGGUCUGUAACUGACGCUGAGGCGCGAAAGCGUGGGGAGCAAACAGG
RNAcentral lists this ribosomal RNA (253 nucleotides) under uncultured bacterium. RNAcentral describes it as "partial 16S ribosomal RNA". It matches the Rfam family "Bacterial small subunit ribosomal RNA", at positions 524 to 776 of the family's 1533-position model. The record is from RNAcentral.